Molecule: signal recognition particle RNA, 266 nt
Filed under: Papillibacter cinnamivorans DSM 12816
Lineage: Bacteria; Bacillati; Bacillota; Clostridia; Eubacteriales; Oscillospiraceae
Description: Bacterial large signal recognition particle RNA
Rfam family: Bacterial large signal recognition particle RNA
About the family: The signal recognition particle (SRP) is a universally conserved ribonucleoprotein involved in the co-translational targeting of proteins to membranes. Archaeal SRP consists of a 7S RNA and homologues of the eukaryotic SRP19 and SRP54 proteins.
Source: Rfam by way of RNAcentral
CCGCACUAAUCGGGGAGUCAGCGGUGCCCUGUAGCCUGCAACCCGCUACAGCAGGGAUGAAUCCCGGCCCCCGGAUCUGAGUUGUGCCGUCCGCCCCGGAUAAGCGGCGAUGAGAAGCCGGUCUUGCGCAACGGAAUCCCGCGAACCAUGUCAGGCGGGGAACCGAGCAGCAUUAAGCGGAUCCUUUCGUGUGCCGCGAGGGUGCCGUCUUCGAGCCGGCUGUCCGGGUAACGGGCAUAUUUCACGAUUCAAAGGCCGGUGUGCGG